CCGCGUCCCCAGGUCAGGCGAGACCACCCGCUGAGCUUAAGCAUAUCAAUAAGCGGAGGAAAAGAAACUUACGAGGAUUCCCCUAGUAACGGCGAGCGAACCGGGAACAGCCCAGCAUGAAAAUCGGGCGGCGCCGUCGUCCGA
This 144-nucleotide ribosomal RNA is filed under the name Lepidothamnus intermedius. Its description in RNAcentral is "partial 26S ribosomal RNA". It matches the Rfam family "Eukaryotic large subunit ribosomal RNA", at positions 1 to 141 of the family's 3401-position model. Lineage: Eukaryota; Viridiplantae; Streptophyta; Pinopsida; Araucariales; Podocarpaceae. The record is from RNAcentral.